This 793-nucleotide ribosomal RNA is filed under the name uncultured archaeon. RNAcentral describes it as "bacterial SSU rRNA". It matches the Rfam family "Archaeal small subunit ribosomal RNA", at positions 85 to 879 of the family's 1478-position model. The record is from RNAcentral.
ACGGCUCAGUAACACGUAGUCAACCUACCCUAUGGACAGGGAUAACCUCGGGAAACUGAGAAUAAUACCAGAUAGAACAUUAUGCCUGGAAUGGUUUAUGUUUCAAAUAAUUUAUUGCCGUAGGAUGGGACUGCGGCCUAUCAGUUUGUUGGUGAGGUAAUGGCCCACCAAGACUAUUACAGGUACGGGCUCUGAGAGGAGUAGCCCGGAGAUGGGUACUGAGACACGGACCCAGGCCCUAUGGGGCGCAGCAGGCGAGAAAACUUUGCAAUGUGCGAAAGCACGACAAGGUUAAUCCGAGUGGUUUCUGCUAAAGGAACCUUUUGACAGUCUUAGAACCACUGUUGAAUAAGGGGUGGGCAAGUUCUGGUGUCAGCCGCCGCGGUAAAACCAGCACCUCAAGUGGUCAGGAUGAUUAUUGGGCCUAAAGCAUCCGUAGCCUGCUUUGCAAGUUUUCGGUUAAAUCCAUACGCUCAACGUAUGGGCUGCCGGGAAUACUACAAAGCUAGGGAGUGGGAGAGGUAGACGGUACUCGGUAGGAAGGGGUAAAAUCCUUUGAUCUAUUGAUGACCACCUGUGGCGAAGGCGGUCUACCAGAACACGUCCGACGGUGAGGGAUGAAAGCUGGGGGAGCAAACCGGAUUAGAUACCCGGGUAGUCCCAGCUGUAAACUAUGCAAACUCGGUGAUGCAUUGGCUUGAUGCCAAUGCAGUGCCGCAGGGAAGCCGUUAAGUUUGCCGCCUGGGAAGUACGUACGCAAGUAUGAAACUUAAAGGAAUUGGCGGGGGAGCAC